GACAGAGGGUGCAAACGUUGUUCGGAAUUACUGGGCGUAAAGCGCGUGUAGGCGGCAAGGCAAGUCGGAUGUGAAAGCCCACGGCUCAACCGUGGAAGUGCACCCGAAACUGCCUAGCUAGAGUCUCGGAGAGGAAGGUGGAAUGCUUGGUGUAGAGGUGAAAUUCGUAGAUAUCAGGAGGAACACCGGUGGCGAAGGCGGGUCUCUGGGCCGAUACUGACGCUGAGGAGCGAAAGCGUGGGGAGCGAACAGG
Molecule: ribosomal RNA, 253 nt
Filed under: uncultured bacterium
Lineage: Bacteria
Description: partial 16S ribosomal RNA
Rfam family: Bacterial small subunit ribosomal RNA
Source: RNAcentral